GGAGCGGCCAGGGCCUGGUGGCCCGUCCGGUCUUCAAAACCGGGAGGGGCGCGGCAGACCGCGCUGGAAGGUUCGAAUCCUUCGCCGCUCCG
This 92-nucleotide transfer RNA is filed under the name Solirubrobacterales bacterium. Its description in RNAcentral is "tRNA-Sec". It matches the Rfam family "Selenocysteine transfer RNA". Lineage: Bacteria; Bacillati; Actinomycetota; Thermoleophilia; Solirubrobacterales. The record is from RNAcentral.